UUAUGGUCAUAUCAUGUUGAAACACCAGUUUUCAUACGAUCACCAAAGUUAAGCAAUGUUGAAACUGGUCAGUACCUAGAUGGGUGACCACUUGGGAAUACCAGUUGCUGUAAGC
Molecule: non-coding RNA, 115 nt
Organism: Acanthosepion pharaonis
Lineage: Eukaryota; Metazoa; Mollusca; Cephalopoda; Sepiida; Sepiidae
Source: the annotation of a GenBank genome assembly